Molecule: non-coding RNA, 219 nt
Filed under: Monodelphis domestica (gray short-tailed opossum)
Lineage: Eukaryota; Metazoa; Chordata; Mammalia; Didelphimorphia; Didelphidae
Description: Eukaryotic small subunit ribosomal RNA
Rfam family: Eukaryotic small subunit ribosomal RNA
Source: Rfam by way of RNAcentral
AAGAGUGAAGUGUGAAUUAGACUUUCUUUGACUAUCAAUCAACAACUUUUAACUUACACGAGUGCUACAUUGACUGGCUCAGUGUGUGACUACCCCAAGCUAGCAGGCAUGGGUAACCAACCCAUUCAACCCAAUUUGUGAUGGGGAUCAGGGAUUGCAAUUAUUCCCCAUGAAGGAGGAAUUCCCAGGAAGUGCAGGUCAUAAGCUUGUGUUGAUUAA